GUGCCAGCCGCCGCGGUAAUACGUAGGCAGCAAGCGUUGUUCGGAAUUACUGGGCGUAAAGGGUGCGUAGGCGGCUUUUUAAGUUUGUCGUGAAAUCUCCCGGCUCAACCGGGAGGGUGCGGCGAAUACUGAGAAGCUAGAGUGUGGGAGAGGAAAGUGGAAUUCCUGGUGUAGCGGUGAAAUGCGUAGAUAUCAGGAGGAACACCGGUGGUGUAAACGGCUUUCUGGACCAUAACUGACGCUGAGGCACGAAAGCGUGGGUAGCAAACAGGAUUAGAUACCCUGGUAGUCCACGCCCUAAACGAUGCAUAUUUGGUGUGGGCCAUUCAUUUGGUCCGUGCCGGAGCUAACGCGUUAAAUAUGCCGCCUGGGGAGUACAGUCGCAAGGCUGAAACUCAAAUGAAUUGACGGGG
This 413-nucleotide ribosomal RNA is filed under the name uncultured prokaryote. Its description in RNAcentral is "bacterial SSU rRNA". It matches the Rfam family "Bacterial small subunit ribosomal RNA", at positions 505 to 918 of the family's 1533-position model. The record is from RNAcentral.